This 242-nucleotide ribosomal RNA is filed under the name uncultured bacterium. Its description in RNAcentral is "partial 16S ribosomal RNA". It matches the Rfam family "Bacterial small subunit ribosomal RNA", at positions 796 to 1041 of the family's 1533-position model. The record is from RNAcentral. RNAcentral also lists the same sequence under 1 other name.
CACGCAGUAAACGAUGAUGACUAACCGUCGGCGAUAUACAGUCGGUGGCCAAGCGAAAGCGAUAAGUCAUCCACCUGGGGAGUACGACCGCAAGGUUGAAACUCAAAGGAAUUGACGGGGGCCCGCACAAGCGGAGGAACAUGUGGUUUAAUUCGAUGAUACGCGAGGAACCUUACCCGGGCUCGAACGGCAUAUGAAGACUGUAGAGAUGCAGUCGCCCUUCGGGGCAUAUGUCGAGGUGC